GACGAACGCUGGCGGCGCGCCUAACACAUGCAAGUCGAACGAGCGAGAGAGAGCUUGCUUUCUUGAGCGAGUGGCGAACGGGUGAGUAACGCGUGAGGAACCUGCCUCAAAGAGGGGGACAACAGUUGGAAACGACUGCUAAUACCGCAUAAGCCCACGGCUCGGCAUCGAGCAGAGGGAAAAGGAGCAAUCCGCUUUGAGAUGGCCUCGCGUCCGAUUAGCUAGUUGGUGAGGUAACGGCCCACCAAGGCAACGAUCGGUAGCCGGACUGAGAGGUUGAACGGCCACAUUGGGACUGAGACACGGCCCAGACUCCUACGGGAGGCAGCAGUGGGGAAUAUUGCACAAUGGGGGAAACCCUGAUGCAGCGACGCCGCGUGGAGGAAGAAGGUCUUCGGAUUGUAAACUCCUGUUGUUGAGGAAGAUAAUGACGGUACUCAACAAGGAAGUGAC
This 453-nucleotide ribosomal RNA is filed under the name uncultured bacterium. RNAcentral describes it as "bacterial SSU rRNA". It matches the Rfam family "Bacterial small subunit ribosomal RNA", at positions 28 to 494 of the family's 1533-position model. The record is from RNAcentral.